This 524-nucleotide ribosomal RNA is filed under the name uncultured eukaryote. RNAcentral's name for it is "SSU rRNA". It matches the Rfam family "Eukaryotic small subunit ribosomal RNA", at positions 21 to 549 of the family's 1831-position model. The record is from RNAcentral.
UAGUCAUAUGCUUGUCUCAAAGAUUAAGCCAUGCAUGUCUAAGUAUACGCAAAUUAUACUGUGAAACUGCGAAUGGCUCAUUAAAUCAGUUAUAGUUUAUUUGAUGUUUCUUGCUACAUGGAUAACUGUGGUAAUUCUAGAGCUAAUACAUGCGUAAAAAGCCCCGACUUCUGGAAGGGGUGUAUUUAUUAGAUAAAAACCAUCCUCCUCGGAGUUUGGUGAUUCAUAAUAACUUCUCGAAUCGCACGGCCUUGUGCUGGCGAUGCUUCAUUCAAAUAUCUGCCCUAUCAACUGUCGAUGGUAGGAUAGAGGCCUACCAUGGUUGCAACGGGUAACGGGGAAUAAGGGUUCGAUUCCGGAGAGGGAGCCUGAGAAACGGCUACCACAUCCAAGGAAGGCAGCAGGCGCGCAAAUUACCCAAUCCCGACACGGGGAGGUAGUGACAAUAAAUAACUAAUGCUAGGGCCCUUUUGGGUCUUGUAAUUGGAAUGAGUACGAUUUAAAUCCCUUAACGAGGAACGAUU